UACGUAGGUGGCAAGCGUUGUCCGGAAUUACUGGGUGUAAAGGGAGCGUAGGCGGGAGUGCAAGUUGGAUGUCUAAUCUACCGGCUUAACCGGUAAUCGCAUUCAAAACUGCACUUCUUGAGUGAAGUAGAGGCAGGCGGAAUUCCUAGUGUAGCGGUGAAAUGCGUAGAUAUUAGGAGGAACACCAGUGGCGAAGGCGGCCUGCUGGGCUUUAACUGACGCUGAGGCUCGAAAGCGUGGGUAGCAAACAGG
This 252-nucleotide ribosomal RNA is filed under the name uncultured bacterium. RNAcentral's name for it is "partial 16S ribosomal RNA". It matches the Rfam family "Bacterial small subunit ribosomal RNA", at positions 524 to 776 of the family's 1533-position model. The record is from RNAcentral.